GUGAUGAGAUCAUUCCUGGAAAAUGUUUAGGUGUCAACAGCUUUCAGUAUUACAUGGAAUGUAAUCGACAGGUGUAUACUAGAUCGAUAUAAUAAUCUGCUCUCCUAACUAAACAGAAGUCUGUUUGAAAGCAAAUCUGUUAAGUGUACUUCAAUACUGUGAACAAUUGAUACUAUACUAUCUGAACACAUCAGCAUGAGCUCAAAUCUUCAAAGAAUGUAUGGGUUUUUUCGAUGCUCGGGCUGUAACAAGAACUGGGAAAGCUCCCAUGUCUAUUGUCUCAGAGGAACAAUGGAGGCUACUUAUGGUCAAGAAUGCAAGUCCUGCCGAGUCAUGUGCAAACCGUAUAGAGUCGAGCAUCUCGUCUGCUCCCAGUGUGGUGAAGUGACCUGUGUAUGUCCAUUCAAAGAAAGACACGUGGACCCCAACAUUUCACACCGCAGAGACCUCUGUGAGAAAUGUAGAUCUGGACAUCCAUGUGCCUAGAUGUCUCACCAAUACAGAUAAACAUGUGUUUCUAUGAUGUGAGAAAUGUAGAUCAAGACAUCCAUGUGACUAGAUGUCUCUUCAAUACAUACAGAUAAUAAUGUGUUUGUAUGUUCAGUGUGGCUGUGGUAGAGAGGAAAAGAAAGCUUUUUUAUAUGUGUUAGUGUAUGUGAGAGAAUGUGCUUGUUCGUGUGAGAUGUUGAGAAAGAGUGUAAGUGUGUGUGUGUGUGUGAGAGAGAGAGAGAGAGAGAGAGAGAGAAAGAGAAUGUUUUUGAUAUUAAAUCAGUGUUUGAAAUCCAUUGAAUAUAUUGUUUUCUUGACUAGACCCACUUUUUAGAGCUGGCUAUCUCUGGUAGAACUCCAGGAGUGUUUUGUUUGGUUUUGGUAUUGAUCACAAGGUCUGAAAGAGGAACUUUACUUUUUUGUCUGACUUUACUUCCUAGCACCGGGCGCUCUCCCUCUAGCCUCCCUCCCCCACUUGUUAUUUAAACUACAGUGUGUCAAUCAAACUGAAAAUAUUGUUUGUAUGGUCAUUUCAUACAAGGCGAUGAUUCAAAUACUACUCUAAAUUGUCUUUCACUAGCGUAAUCUUUCGAUAAUCCAAGAUCAUUUCUGUCAGGGGUGCAUGUUUUGACACACUUUGAUGUCAGUGUCGUAAUAUGAUGUUAGACUAUCUUAAAGUACUUCACUGCUUUCAUGAAACAUUAGAGUGAAGACUACACUUAACUUCUAAUUAUUUGUAACAAAAAUAAUUAAAUUAAAAUAAUUUCAAUAUCAGGUUUCUGAGAAAUGUACAUUUUUAUAACAUAUAUUUGUAUACCUCGCUUAUCAUGUUGUAUGUUUGUGACUCUCAGUCAAGUGUACACAUCUGACAUAUUUUAUGCCUUGUGUUAAUCAGCCGAGUGUACACAUUACAUUAUUGUCUAUCAAAAAAAAAAUUAUUUUCUUAACAUUGGAGAUUAAAUUAUUAUUAUAAUUGUGAUAUUAAUUUGAUGAAGUAAAUUUAUUUUAAAAACAAAA
Molecule: long non-coding RNA, 1506 nt
Organism: Biomphalaria glabrata
Lineage: Eukaryota; Metazoa; Mollusca; Gastropoda; Planorbidae
Exons: 3
Source: RefSeq, a predicted model, not a curated record